UACGGGGGGGGCAAGCGUUGUUCGGAAUUACUGGGCGUAAAGGGCUCGUAGGCGGCCAACUAAGUCAGACGUGAAAUCCCUCGGCUUAACCGGGGAACUGCGUCUGAUACUGGAUGGCUUGAAUCCGGGAGAGGGAUGCGGAAUUCCAGGUGUAGCGGUGAAAUGCGUAGAUAUCUGGAGGAACACCGGUGGCGAAGGCGGCAUCCUGGACCGGCAUUGACGCUGAUGCGCGAAAGCCAGGGGAGCAAACGGG
This 253-nucleotide ribosomal RNA is filed under the name uncultured bacterium. Its description in RNAcentral is "partial 16S ribosomal RNA". It matches the Rfam family "Bacterial small subunit ribosomal RNA", at positions 524 to 776 of the family's 1533-position model. The record is from RNAcentral.